GACGUAGGGUGCAAGCGUUGUCCGGAAUUAUUGGGCGUAAAGAGUUCGUAGGUGGUUACUUAUGUCCGGUGUUAAAUAAUAGAGCUCAACUCUAUAUCUGCAUCGGAAACUGAGCAACUUGAGUUAGGUAGGGGUCAGAAGAAUUCCUGGUGUAGCGGUGAAAUGCGUAGAUAUCAGGAGGAACACCAGUGGCGAAAGCGUCUGACUGGGCCUAUACUGACACUGAGGAACGAGAGCUAGGGUAGCAAAAGGG
RNAcentral lists this unclassified non-coding RNA (253 nucleotides) under uncultured cyanobacterium. Its description in RNAcentral is "contains 16S-23S intergenic spacer region". It matches the Rfam family "Bacterial small subunit ribosomal RNA", at positions 524 to 776 of the family's 1533-position model. Lineage: Bacteria; Bacillati; Cyanobacteriota. The record is from RNAcentral.